UAACCUGCCCAAGAGAUCGGGAUAACACCUGGAAACAGAUGCUAAUACCGGAUAACAACAGAUGAUGCCUAUCAACUGUUUAAAAGAUGGUUCUGCUAUCACUCUUGGAUGGACCUGCGGUGCAUUAGCCAGUUGGUAGGGUAACGGCCUACCAAGGCGAUGAUGCAUAGCCGAGUUGAGAGACUGAUCGGCCACAUUGGGACUGAGACACGGCCCAAACUCCUACGGGAGGCAGCAGCC
Molecule: ribosomal RNA, 240 nt
Filed under: uncultured Lactobacillus sp.
Lineage: Bacteria; Bacillati; Bacillota; Bacilli; Lactobacillales; Lactobacillaceae
Description: partial 16S ribosomal RNA
Rfam family: Bacterial small subunit ribosomal RNA
Source: RNAcentral